GGAGAUAUAGCUCAGUUGGUAGAGUGCUUGCUUUGUAUGCACAAUGCCUUGGGUUCAAUCCCCAGCACCACCA
Molecule: non-coding RNA, 73 nt
Organism: Ictidomys tridecemlineatus (thirteen-lined ground squirrel)
Lineage: Eukaryota; Metazoa; Chordata; Mammalia; Rodentia; Sciuridae
Source: Rfam